RNAcentral lists this ribosomal RNA (441 nucleotides) under uncultured bacterium. Its description in RNAcentral is "partial 16S ribosomal RNA". It matches the Rfam family "Bacterial small subunit ribosomal RNA", at positions 338 to 795 of the family's 1533-position model. The record is from RNAcentral.
CCUACGGGUGGCAGCAGUAGGGGAUAUUGCACAAUGGGGGCAACCCUGAUGCAGCGACGCCGCGUGGGCGAUGGAGUACUUCGGUAUGUAAAGCUCUGUCAGCAGGGAAGAGAAUGACGGUACCUGACCAAGAAGCCCCGGCUAAAUACGUGCCAGCAGCCGCGGUAAUACGUAUGGGGCAAGCGUUAUCCGGAUUUACUGGGUGUAAAGGGAGCGUAGGCGGGAGGGCAAGCCUGAUGUGAAAGCCCGGGGCUCAACCCCGGGACUGCAUUGGGAACUGCCCCGCUGGAGUGAUGGAGGGGCAGGGGGAAUUACUAGGGUAGCGGUGAAAUGCGGAGAUAUUAGGAGGAACUCCAGUGGCGAAGGCGGACUGGUGGACGGUGUACUGACGCUGAGGCUCGAAAGCGUGGGGAGCAAACAGGAUUAGAUACCCGUGUAGUC